This 492-nucleotide ribosomal RNA is filed under the name uncultured bacterium. RNAcentral's name for it is "partial 16S ribosomal RNA". It matches the Rfam family "Bacterial small subunit ribosomal RNA", at positions 29 to 507 of the family's 1533-position model. The record is from RNAcentral.
AGUGAACGCUGGCGGUAGACCUAACACAUGCAAGUCGAACGGCAGCACAGUAAGAGCUUGCUCUUACGGGUGGCGAGUGGCGGACGGGUGAGGAAUACAUCGGAAUCUACUUUUUCGUGGGGGAUAACGUAGGGAAACUUACGCUAAUACCGCAUACGACCUACGGGUGAAAGCAGGGGAUCUUCGGACCUUGCGCGAUUGAAUGAGCCGAUGUCGGAUUAGCUAGUUGGCGGGGUAAAGGCCCACCAAGGCGACGAUCCGUAGCUGGUCUGAGAGGAUGAUCAGCCACACUGGAACUGAGACACGGUCCAGACUCCUACGGGAGGCAGCAGUGGGGAAUAUUGGACAAUGGGCGCAAGCCUGAUCCAGCCAUACCGCGUGGGUGAAGAAGGCCUUCGGGUUGUAAAGCCCUUUUGUUGGGAAAGAAAAGCAGCAGGCUAAUACCCCGCUGUUCUGACGGUACCCAAAGAAUAAGCACCGGCUAACUUCGUG